Molecule: unclassified non-coding RNA, 341 nt
Filed under: uncultured fungus
Lineage: Eukaryota; Fungi
Description: sequence contains ITS1
Source: RNAcentral
GUAUUACAUUUGUUUGGCUCAUUACAAGCCUAUCAAAACAUUCUACAAAGUUAUACUUGGGUAUAUAAAUACCACGUAGCCAAAGUCAACAAUCUGAAUUUUUUAAUACUGAAUACUUGAAUUCCUGCACUGACGGUACAAGAUCAUGGAAGAUCUAUCAACGGUACACACAGUUCAACUUUCCUCAAGUAUCAAAUCAAAUUUAUUGUCUCCUUCGUCUACAGUAAGGUGCACAGGUGAAGAUAAAGAUUUCAGGAGUGCACAAUGCAAGACCUUAACGAUCUUGCCAGCACAUCCUUUUAGAAUCAAUAAUGAUCCUUCCGCAGGUUCACCUACGGAAA